Molecule: ribosomal RNA, 995 nt
Filed under: Pseudomonas sp. YSA5_2F1
Lineage: Bacteria; Pseudomonadati; Pseudomonadota; Gammaproteobacteria; Pseudomonadales; Pseudomonadaceae
Description: bacterial SSU rRNA
Rfam family: Bacterial small subunit ribosomal RNA
Source: RNAcentral
UGCAGUCGAGCGGAGAGAAGAGCUUGCUCUUCGAUUCAGCGGCGGACGGGUGAGUAAUACCUAGGAAUCUGCCUGGUAGUGGGGGACAACGUUUCGAAAGGAACGCUAAUACCGCAUACGUCCUACGGGAGAAAGCAGGGGACCUUCGGGCCUUGCGCUAUCAGAUGAGCCUAGGUCGGAUUAGCUAGUUGGUGAGGUAAUGGCUCACCAAGGCGACGAUCCGUAACUGGUCUGAGAGGAUGAUCAGUCACACUGGAACUGAGACACGGUCCAGACUCCUACGGGAGGCAGCAGUGGGGAAUAUUGGACAAUGGGCGAAAGCCUGAUCCAGCCAUGCCGCGUGUGUGAAGAAGGUCUUCGGAUUGUAAAGCACUUUAAGUUGGGAGGAAGGGUACUUACCUAAUACGUGAGUAUUUUGACGUUACCGACAGAAUAAGCACCGGCUAACUCUGUGCCAGCAGCCGCGGUAAUACAGAGGGUGCAAGCGUUAAUCGGAAUUACUGGGCGUAAAGCGCGCGUAGGUGGUUCGUUAAGUUGGAUGUGAAAUCCCCGGGCUCAACCUGGGAACUGCAUCCAAAACUGGCGAGCUAGAGUAGGGCAGAGGGUGGUGGAAUUUCCUGUGUAGCGGUGAAAUGCGUAGAUAUAGGAAGGAACACCAGUGGCGAAGCGACCACCUGGGCUCAUACUGACACUGAGGUGCGAAAGCGUGGGGAGCAAACAGGAUUAGAUACCCUGGUAGUCCACGCCGUAAACGAUGUCAACUAGCCGUUGGAAUCCUUGAGAUUUUAGUGGCGCAGCUAACGCAUUAAGUUGACCGCCUGGGGAGUACGGCCGCAAGGUUAAAACUCAAAUGAAUUGACGGGGCCCGCACAAGCGGUGGACAUGUGGUUUAUUCGAAGCACGCAAAUUACCCCUUGACUGCAGAGAUUUCAAAUGGAUUGGGCUCGCUCUGACCUCAGGUGUCGCAGCUCGGAGUGGACCAAGCCACUGGGCAG